AUUGAACGCUGGCGGCAUGCUUUACACAUGCAAGUCGAACGGCAGCGCGGGGUUCUGCCUGGCGGCUAGUGGCGAACGGGUGAGUAAUGCACGUGAACGUGCCGAGUAGUGGGGUAUAGUCCCUCGAAAGCCGGAUGAAUACCGCAUACUACCUGCGGGUGAAAGCGGGGGAGCGAAAGGCCUCGCGGGAUGGGAGCGGCCGAUGUCGGGUUAGUUAGUUUGUGGGGUAAAGGGUUUCCUAGUCGGGCAUCCGUAGCUGGUCUGAGUGGCCGGUCACCCACCCUGGGGCUUGGCCACCGCCCCGGCUCCUACGGGAGGCCCCAGUGGGGUAUUUUGGGCAAUGGUGGCAACCCUGGUCCAGCCAUGCCGCGUGCGGUAAGACGGCCUUCGGGUUGUAAACCGCUUUUGUUCGGGAAGAACUCCUCUGGGCUAAUACCACGGGGGGAUGACGGUACCGGAAGAAUAAGCACCGGCUAACUACGUG
This 484-nucleotide ribosomal RNA is filed under the name uncultured bacterium. RNAcentral describes it as "partial 16S ribosomal RNA". It matches the Rfam family "Bacterial small subunit ribosomal RNA", at positions 28 to 507 of the family's 1533-position model. The record is from RNAcentral.